Molecule: ribosomal RNA, 483 nt
Filed under: uncultured bacterium
Lineage: Bacteria
Description: partial 16S ribosomal RNA
Rfam family: Bacterial small subunit ribosomal RNA
Source: RNAcentral
AUUGAACGCUGGCGGCAGGCCUAACACAUGCAAGUCGAGCGGAUGAAGGGAGCUUACUCCUGGAUUCAGCGGCGGACGGGUGAGUAAUGCCUAGGAAUCUGCCUGGUAGUGGGGGAUAACGUCCGGAAACGGGCGCUAAUACCGCAUACGUCCUGAGGGAGAAAGUGGGGGAUCUUCGGACCUCACGCUAUCAGAUGAGCCUAGGUCGGAUUAGCUAGUUGGUGGGGUAAAGGCCUACCAAGGCGACGAUCCGUAACUGGUCUGAGAGGAUGAUCAGUCACACUGGAACUGAGACACGGUCCAGACUCCUACGGGAGGCAGCAGUGGGGAAUAUUGGACAAUGGGCGAAAGCCUGAUCCAGCCAUGCCGCGUGUGUGAAGAAGGUCUUCGGAUUGUAAAGCACUUUAAGUUGGGAGGAAGGGCAGUAAGUUAAUACCUUGCUGUUUUGACGUUACCAACAGAAUAAGCACCGGCUAACUUCGU